This 1002-nucleotide long non-coding RNA is filed under the name Homo sapiens (human). RNAcentral describes it as "HSALNT0404080". The record is from RNAcentral. Lineage: Eukaryota; Metazoa; Chordata; Mammalia; Primates; Hominidae.
GAGAAAACAGUUUCAUUUUAAAUUAUAUAUACCAAUAAACUGAGAGUAACAAACACAUGCACUCUCAAAUGUUCUAUAACAUUAUUACAUCAAAUGCAGAGUUCAGUUAAAGUUUGGAGAUCAGCAUUUUGUAAUAACAGCAGUUUUCAAUCAGUUAAGAAUAUCUAAGUUGCUCUUCUGCUGAAUUAAACAGGUACAGCAUAUGUCGGUAAGUGAUAUAAGGCAAAUACAACAAAUGUCUGAAAAUCAUGCUUUGGUAAAAGUAUUGGAGGACUUAACUGUGUUUAUCAAAUUGAAGGAAGACUAUGUGAGAAUGAAACAGACUUUGGAGUAGGCAGAAGUACGGCAGCUUCCAAUCUUAGCUGCAGAGCCCUAUGACCCUGGGUAUGGGGCUUCUUAUACAAACCAACCAUAACUUAAGGAUUCUACCAUCUUCCUUAUAAGACUGCUAUAAAUUAUUACAGAUGAUGGAAGAAAAGCAUAAGGAAUGUGGUAGAAAUUCAAUAAGCAGUGGCUAUUAUCUCUUUUCUGUAGUUGUAAAUCUAAUAGCUUCUAAUGCUGCCAAGCUGAUGAAGAGACUGGGGAGGAGCCUGAGAUCUUGUUGCAGAUGCCCCAAAAAUGGUUCCACAACCACUAAGAACAUACUAGCUCACAACUAGUUUCUGAGCUAGAUUAGAAAUGGUUAAAGUUACUGGAAAGAUGACCCUAUGGAUAAACAUGCAUCAUUAUUAGCAAACAAAUGGUACCAGUAAGUUGCAAAUAAAAAACACACACACACUAUUCUCAUUUGUUUCUACAUGGUAUGCUACAUGGAAGGCACAUUCCCCAAGAUUUAGACUAUUACUACCAGAUCAAGUCACUUAUAUAAAUCUUGCUGUCCAACAGAAAUAAACAAAUUUUUAAUCAGCCACUUUAAAAUAAAAUCAAAAUAUUUUGAUAGAAAAGAACCAUUAACUCAAAGUUUUGGUGUGGGUUGGGGCACACUGCGCUGUUUGCCUGUUU